This is a long non-coding RNA of Cydia fagiglandana, 1264 nucleotides long. RefSeq lists it as uncharacterized. The record is from RefSeq and is a predicted model, not a curated record. The transcript has 3 exons. NCBI's taxonomy places the organism in Eukaryota, Metazoa, Arthropoda, Insecta, Lepidoptera, Tortricidae.
GUUGAAAAGGAUGUGGAAAUCGUUCAUCAGUGGAUUUUUAAGGUUGGAGUUAACGAAAGUUUGGGAGGCAUCUGAUAAUGGCACGGAACUUUUUUGUGAAAGAAUAUUCAAACUGAAAAACGAAAGAGUCGCGAGAAUACAGAGGACCGAAAGUUAUAGACUUAUAUAUCGUUUGGAUGAGUGCUGGGCGUGGGAGGGCUGGAUGUGGGCGGCAGUGGCAAUGGUGAUUGCAUACGUCCCAGAGGUCGCUGCAAUCGCGAUUGCAGCGACAUAUUGCUAUUACGCCAGACAACACUCCUCUAACUGAUGCUUACAUGGUACUUCUACAGACGACUUAAGCUGUUCAAAUAAUAAUCGAUUUUGUUAUAACUGGUAUAAUGAAAGCUCCUAAAAUAAUCAAGCACAUAAUAAAAUACAAAAAAAAAUGGGUUAUGGACAUAAGCAAAUUAUUUUAAUCAUUUAAUUGGCAAGGAAACAUUUUUAUGAAACUAUGAAUAACGAUUCCCAAUCGAAUGCUAUAAUGUAUUCAUUUUAUCUCUCUGUCUCUUUUGCAUCUUUUUUUUUAUUAUGAAUGGGCUUACUCAUGGCCACAGCCAUCUCUACUUAUGUUUCAGAUCAGCAUAAUUAUUAAUGCACCGAAGCGAUACAGCGAAGUAUAAAUUAUCGGCCGAUCGUAAGAUCAGGCAUAUCGUGAAAUUCCUAGGCAUUUCGUGAAACGUGAAAAUCUUUGACUCGUUCCCUGAGUCGACGGAGCCCCCCCGCUACGCGGAGCUCCUAUUUCUGGGCAGUUUGCCCUUCGGGCAUCUGAAGCAACCUAACGAACCUAUCCUACCUAAGGCAUAUAUUGGUUUAAUGUGACUAUCGUCAAAACAGUACACAGGAACAUUACGAUCUGCCUGAUCUUACGAUCGGCCGCCGACAUUGUAAAUACAUGACAUAUGACUGAUAUGACUAAAUAAAAUACAACGAAGUGUGGGGUGGGGGUGUCAUUUUAAAUUUAUGAUGAAAAACCUCCCACACCUUUGUCAUUAAAUUCCAUGUAAAGUUAGCUUGGUUUGAGUAUAAUAAAUUACCAUGAAUACCGAGAUAUAAAAGGUUCCAAUGUAAGUUUAUUUUCAAGGUCAACAUUCCUAAACUCCUCAUUCCACAACAUUCACUAAUAAUUAAUAAUUAAUUAUUAUUAAUUAAUUAUUUAGAUAUAAAAUAAAUACAUUAUAACAUUCGAUUUGUAAUCUAGUAGUAGUUUAAGUUAUAUGAUAAUGAA